Molecule: non-coding RNA, 321 nt
Organism: Vicia faba (fava bean)
Lineage: Eukaryota; Viridiplantae; Streptophyta; Magnoliopsida; Fabales; Fabaceae
Source: the annotation of a GenBank genome assembly
UCUAACCAUGGUUAUAUUCAUGCUGUUUUGAGUGAACUGUUAAUACAAAAACAAAGAAAAUUAACCCUAGACGCAUCAAAUGUUGCAGAUCAAAUUUACAUUUAUAUUGUUAUGAGAGGGAGAGAGAGAGGGGUCAAAUACUUCAUCUUGCACGCAGCACCUGCACUUAAAUGUCAAGAUGUUUGUAAGAGUUUGAGAUAUGCAUGCCAUUUCAUUGCUGCAUUUUCCAACCAGUAUAAACACUUUCAGUGUUGUCCCAAACAAGGGGGACAAGGGGUUGCAAAAGAAGCACAAAAAUCAAUGAAAACAUUUGGAACAUAG